Long non-coding RNA from Lactuca sativa (garden lettuce), 372 nucleotides. RefSeq lists it as uncharacterized. The record is from RefSeq and is a predicted model, not a curated record. NCBI's taxonomy places the organism in Eukaryota, Viridiplantae, Streptophyta, Magnoliopsida, Asterales, Asteraceae.
GGAAACUUGAAAAUAAGUUUUUGGAACAAAAAUUGCAAAAAUCAAGUAUACCCAGACACAAGCUUGUAUUUUCAAGGUUGGAGACGACUGCAGACAAGAUGUACUUGCUUUACAAGUGAUUUCGCUUCUGAAAGACAUAUUUGAAGCAGUUGGACUUGAUCUUUAUCUGUUUCCUUAUGGAGUACUUCCAACUGACCCUGAAAGAGGAAUAAUUGAGGUUGUUCCAAACACGCGGAGUAGAAGCUCGAUGGGUGAAACGACAGAUGGUGGAUUAUAUCGAAAGUAAAAUAUUUUUUGCCCAUGAUUAAAAGACGUAAUUGCCCUUGUAGGUGGAUGGAGUACCUGCAUUGAUUCACCAGACUGAAGUGUCAU